RNAcentral lists this ribosomal RNA (238 nucleotides) under uncultured bacterium. RNAcentral describes it as "partial 16S ribosomal RNA". It matches the Rfam family "Bacterial small subunit ribosomal RNA", at positions 524 to 759 of the family's 1533-position model. The record is from RNAcentral.
UACGUAGGGUGCAAGCGUUAAUCGGAAUUACUGGGCGUAAAGCGUGCGCAGGCGGUCUGUUAAGACCGAUGUGAAAUCCCCGGGCUUAACCUGGGAACUGCAUUGGUGACUGGCAGGCUUUGAGUGUGGCAGAGGGAGGUAGAAUUCCACGUGUAGCAGUGAAAUGCGUAGAGAUGUGGAGGAAUACCGAUGGCGGAAGGCAGCCUCCUGGGCCAACACUGACGCUCAUGCACGAAAG